AAAUCAGGUCACAUUCUAAGGUUUGGGAGUUAAGAUUUCCACAUAUCUUUUUGCAGAGCACACAAUUUAACCCAGGACAGCAGGGAGACAGCACCCCAGGCCGAGUGAAGGGGAGGACCGCACAGGCAAACGCUGGCCUGGCGAGGCACCAGAGGCUGUAGAGGAAAGCGCCUCCCACCUGUGAGAUGCCAACAAGAUACCCAGGGUCUGAAGAGUCUUAAAAGAAAAGCAAGGAGCGGGGGUAUGAUAUCCGACCAAAGAGCAAACGCCCGAGCCACUUGGCACUGCACUCUAACUGGGAGGCUGAGCAC
RNAcentral lists this long non-coding RNA (311 nucleotides) under Homo sapiens (human). RNAcentral's name for it is "HSALNT0196528". The record is from RNAcentral. Lineage: Eukaryota; Metazoa; Chordata; Mammalia; Primates; Hominidae.